GGCAAGAGGUCAAAUUGGAGCUGUAGCUGCCGGCCUUUACCACAGCCACGGCAAUGUCAGAUCCAAGCUGCAUCUGUGACCUAUGCCGUAGCUUGUAGCAAUGCUUGGAUCCUUAACCCACUGAUGCAGACCAGGGAUUGAACCUGCAUCCUCAUGGACACUAGCUGGGUUUGUUACUAGUGAGCCACAACAGGAGCUCCUAUCAGCUUAUUUUGCACCUGUACCAGCUGAUAUUUUUGCCAGCUUCUUUACCUAGAUGAAUUCACAAGGAUGACAGAACAUUCAGGAGCUCUGGCCUUCAGCUUUACAGAUAUUUAAAAUAUUUUUCCAUCUCCUCCCUUCAGUCACUGAAGUUGGGGCUUCAAUGCUUUGAAGAAUAAGUAUUUCUGUAUAAACACUACUUCUUCCUGAUAAUUUGGCCAUAGCCAGUGACUUAUCUGAAAUCAUAUUUCUUUGACUGCUUAGCCCCUCGACACAGAAGAAAAGAGUACAGUCAAUAAUAUUUGAUCUGGAGUUCCUGUCAUGGUGCAGUGGAAACGAUUCUGGCUAGGAACCAUGAGGUUAUAGGUUCGAUCCCUGGCCUCACUCAGUGGGUUAAGGAUCCAGUGUUGCCGUGAGCUGUGGUGUAGGGUCGCAGACGUGGCUCAGAUUUGGCGUUGCUGUGGCUACGGCUGUGGCUGGCAACUGCAGCUCUGAUUCAACUCCUAGCCUGGGAACUUCCAUGUGCUGCAGGUAUAGCUGUAAAAAGAAAAAAAAUCCACUCUAAGAUGAUACUUGAUGUAUGAAGUAGCUGAACUUGGGUUUGGGGGACUAGGUUAUGGAAGGAGCAGUGGGGCAUUAGAUGACUCAGAAACUUAAGAGAAAUGAGAUGGUAUUUCAGUCUAGAAUGGAUAAACUUUGUUUGGGUUAUAUAAUUACCUUCACAGUUGUGUUUCUUUUUACUUCCUUUUUUUAAAAAAUGAGUAACAAAAUUAAGUGACUUAAUUUUUUUAAAAUUAAUUUUCUUCCUAGGGUAGACUCAGUUUUAACCUAAUUGAUGGAUAUCUUAAAAGAUUUCAUAAAAUCUAAAUGGUGAAGGGAUUUUUAACUUUACCAAGAUUUCCUGAAAUUCCCAGUGCUCUUAGUAAAUUAACACAGGACUUGAUCGACAGUCCAUUUAUACAUAAAUUCUUCAGAAACACAUUGGUGCACAAGUUCCGCAUUCCUGUCCAGUGGAUAAAUCCUGCUGGGAGAAGGUGUGGAGGGAUGGUUCUCAGAACAGGAUUUGAGAAUAGGGACAAUGGGGGUGGUCCAGGUGAUGUCACCUUCCUCUGGAUUUGGGCUCAGUGAAUCACACAUAACACCGUCUUGCUUAAUCUAUGAUUGGAAAGUUCUGUUACCAAUAUCUGUGCACUUUUAUUUGUGUUCUAAACAUGUUUUAGCCAGGGCUUCUGCACUGGGUUAAAGAUGUG
This 1451-nucleotide long non-coding RNA is filed under the name Sus scrofa (pig). Its description in RNAcentral is "lncRNA (ENSSSCG00055030687.1)". Lineage: Eukaryota; Metazoa; Chordata; Mammalia; Artiodactyla; Suidae. The record is from RNAcentral.